Larimichthys crocea (large yellow croaker) is the source of this 1024-nucleotide long non-coding RNA. RefSeq lists it as uncharacterized. The record is from RefSeq and is a predicted model, not a curated record. Lineage: Eukaryota; Metazoa; Chordata; Actinopteri; Sciaenidae. The transcript has 4 exons.
GUCACCUGAGAGACAGAAAUAACAACAAUUAUCGUCAUCCCUGGGCGUAAAGUCUGUAGUGAUGAUGACUCAUCGGUGCAGUUUUGACUUUUAUACAAUAUGAUGUGUGUGUGUGUUCUCACCAGGCAGACAAGGUAUACAGAGUCCCUUUGAAUCCCUCAGUAGCUCUCCGGUCCCUUCCUGCACCCUGACCAGUCUGAUGGGGUAAAAGCUGGGCAAGAUGCGACUGUUGAAGCCACACGCCCCCACCUGGACAUCAGGACGGAGGCCGUUACCAAUGGCAACACGCACCCGGUGAUGUGCCUCAGAUGGAUGGAACGGUUGCGCUAACAGCCAAACUCACCGACUAUGCACCACAACAGCUGCCUUUGGCAUUCCUGUGGUACCAGAAGUGUAGAUGUAGAAAAGUCUGUCUGCGUGGGGAGAGAGGGAAUGUUCAGUAAGUUUACUUUUUCACCUGCAUGAGUUCUCUUUUGUUUAUCUGCCAGUGUUUUACAUGUGUGGUAAGCACCCCGACACCCCUAUCAUUCCUUAACAUGUUUCUGUCUCUCCUUCCAUAUCCUCCUCCUAGGUUGUGCAAGCAAAGACUUGAAGAUUAUUAGCUUAGGAAUGUGACACAAAGGUGAAAACAAUAACACAUAAGCAGAUCAACAAGAGAAAAGUUAGUGGACUAAUGCACAAAUACAGUACAACACGAUACAAUGAAGUUUACAGUGAAAUUUAAAUUAAUUCUAUCAAAUGAAAAAUACAUUUUAAAACAAUAAAUUUCAUAUUGCACUUCAUGUUUGUAUACUUCUUGCAUAUUUCUUUGAGCUAAGUUGAUGAUUUGUGUGUUUGCUCACGUGCUAUCAUGUGAAUUAAAUUUCAAAACCAGUGAGACGGAAAUCUGGCAGCAAACAGUUUAGUCUGACAGGCAAAGACUUGCAGAGAAUACUUGCGAUCAAAACUUUGAUAUGUAACAUAAGGCGAUAAUACUGCAGCACAGUUACACUCAUACCCCAAUGCACAGACACUCACUGCAGAG